ACCGGAUUUCCUUGAUUAAAG
This 21-nucleotide microRNA is filed under the name Medicago truncatula (barrel medic). RNAcentral describes it as "mtr-miR1509a-3p". Lineage: Eukaryota; Viridiplantae; Streptophyta; Magnoliopsida; Fabales; Fabaceae. The record is from miRBase by way of RNAcentral.